Molecule: ribosomal RNA, 500 nt
Filed under: uncultured Glomeromycotina
Lineage: Eukaryota; Fungi; Glomeromycota
Description: partial small subunit ribosomal RNA
Rfam family: Eukaryotic small subunit ribosomal RNA
Source: RNAcentral
CCAAUAGCGUAUAUUAAAGUUGUUGCAGUUAAAAAGCUCGUAGUUGAAUUUCGGGAUCAAUAUGUUGGUCGUGCCAUUGGUACGUACUGGCAUUAUUGGUUUCUACCUUCUGAAGAACCUCGAUGUCAUUAAUUUGGUGUCUUGGGGAAUCAGGACUGUUACUUUGAAAAAAUUAGAGUGUUUAAAGCAGGCUCGCGCUUGAAUACAUUAGCAUGGAAUAAUGAAAUAGGACGUUUGAUUCUAUUUUGUUGGUUUCUAGGAUCGACGUAAUGAUUAAUAGGGAUAGUUGGGGGCAUUAGUAUUCAAUUGUCAGAGGUUAAAUUCUUGGAUUUAUUGAAGACUAACUACUGCGAAAGCAUUUGCCAAGGAUGUUUUCAUUAAUCAAGAACGAAAGUUAGGGGAUCGAAGACGAUCAGAUACCGUCGUAGUCUUAACCAUAAACUAUGCCGACUAGGGAUCGGAUGAUGUUAAUUUUUUAAUGACUCAUUCGGCGCCUUACG